UGCCAUCACUCGGGAGACGGCGCCCUCAUGUCAUCAGCCUUCGGUCCUCCUCCUAUCGAGCGGCGUCCUCGGCAGAGGCAGCAGAGGCGCGGUUCCUCGGGCGGCGCCUGGGAGCCACAAGUGGGUGCAGCGGGCGCAGCCCCCAGCCCUGGCGCCUCGGACACACCCACUCGCCGCCGCACUCACGCGCCUCCCAUCCACCACGCACAGACGCCCACGCGCGCACUCCCGGGCGCACGCUGGCACCUCCACAUGACCGCAAAGGCGCCCGGAAUCCUGAUGCCAGCAAGGUCCUUGGGGAUCACCUAAUCCAUCCCCCUGCCUGCAAGCGGGACCAGACUUCCACCCCGCAAUUCGACGAGAGCCCCAGUCCCACGAGGCCCUGGAGCGAAGGACUUUCUGAAAGCCCUCCGGCGUUGCUUCUUCAGAAUGAAAUACACCUGUGUCCGGAAGGUCUUUCACACAGCUAACCUGAGGACUCCAGGCUGUUAAAUAGGCUCCUAGGACCACCCCACCAACUCUUCGAAUGACUCUGAAAAGCCCGAAGCCCCAAUUCGAGUCUGUUAGUCUCAGCCCCUUUCUUCCACCCAGAAAAUGGGGCUGUAGAAGUUCACUUAGAUAGGCAGAUCCUUGACACCCAGCACUUGGUGGUAACCUUGGCGCCCUAGGCUUCCACUCCUGGCUGCCACCAUCAGGCAGAUCCAGGACAGGUUCCUUUGGUCACCCCCAGCUGCCUCCUGCUGAGGUGGGUUCAGUUACUUUUAAAAAUAGUCCAAAGCCAUUCUGAACCAAAGUCUUGAAUCAGCUGUGAAGCCAGAUUUGGAGAAGUAUCCAUCUCCGGUUCAGCAGGCCAGCUCCUGCUCCAGCUCUCUCUGCCGUAGGGAACGCAGGAGGCCAGGCCUGGGAGGAGAGUCCAAGGGCUGACAGUGUCUGGUGGAGCCUCAGCAUCUCUGCACCAACCGUGUGCCCUCCUGAGGUUAUUGCUUGAAGGACCACGUUCAUUUAUCAGAGCAAAACAAUAUUUCCCAGCCUCCCCUUCAGAAUGGUGAGGACAUGUGACUGAACUCUGGCCAACAGGAUGUGAGCAAAAGUGAUCUGAGUAGUGGGAGAAAACGUUGGACUUCAGUGGAUUGAAGAGUGGAUGUGAGGUGAAGAAAAGGAAAAAAUGUGUGCAGACAACUCUUGAGAAGCCUCAAGCUUUCAAGGAGAGGGACAGAGAAAUGGGGUGGCAGCUAAAUGCUGCUGUGGGAACAAGGAGGGCGUGCUGAGAUCCCAGAUGUGUGUCUCUCCAGAUCCGGAGUGCCAGCCUCUAGGCCAUUCUGGCUGAAGGCUUCAUGUGUGUUAUUUUUACCUCCCAACGAAACCGUAAGCCUCUCAUCGUCAGGAACUGUCACGAGGACAUGCUCUAGCUCGUGAGACACUCAUGGCUGAAGAGGGUGGUGGAGGCGUGCUCCAGCCUCGGCCCCUGAAGAUGUUCAGACAGCCCUUUUCCAGGGCCAGUGAGGAAGUGCACGCCAGGCCCAUUAGCUCAGAAACAGCAGCAACACGUUUGAGUCAAGAGGGUCAGCCAGCCCCUGGAAGCACUCGCCGGCCCUCUCAGAGACUGCGGCUGGAGCCUUAAUUAUCUCUCCUCUGAGGAGCUGGCCCCGGCUGGCUCUUCACACAGCUGCUUUCUCCAGGGCCCAAGUCCCCCACAAUGCCCCCAACUGCCAGAGCCAGAGCUCAGAAACCCCAGGUGAUGGUGAGUUAAGUUGGGCCUCCCUCCCUGAGCCAGCUUCAUU
RNAcentral lists this long non-coding RNA (1781 nucleotides) under Equus asinus (donkey). RNAcentral describes it as "lncRNA (ENSEASG00005037085.1)". The record is from RNAcentral. Lineage: Eukaryota; Metazoa; Chordata; Mammalia; Perissodactyla; Equidae.